Molecule: ribosomal RNA, 462 nt
Filed under: uncultured bacterium
Lineage: Bacteria
Description: partial 16S ribosomal RNA
Rfam family: Bacterial small subunit ribosomal RNA
Source: RNAcentral
GACGAACGCUGGCGGCGUGCUUAACACAUGCAAGUCGAACGGAAAGGCCCUUCGGGGUACUCGAGUGGCGAACGGGUGAGUAACACGUGGGUGAUCUGCCCUGCACUUUGGGAUAAGCCUGGGAAACUGGGUCUAAUACCGGAUAGGAGCUCCUGCUGCAUGGUGGGGGUUGGAAAGUUUCGGCGGUUGGGGAUGGACUCGCGGCUUAUCAGCUUGUUGGUGGGGUAGUGGCUUACCAAGGCUUUGACGGGUAGCCGGCCUGAGAGGGUGACCGGCCACAUUGGGACUGAGAUACGGCCCAGACUCCUACGGGAGGCAGCAGUGGGGAAUAUUGCACAAUGGGCGGAAGCCUGAUGCAGCAACGCCGCGUGCGGGAUGACGGCCUUCGGGUUGUAAACCGCUUUCGCCUGUGACGAAGCGUGAGUGACGGUAAUGGGUAAAGAAGCACCGGCUAACUACGUG